AAUGCGCAUGCGCGAGGAGCGAGCCGCUUCUCCCCAUCACAGCGAUUCCCAGGGUUGUCGUAGAAACCACUCCCUGAGGCUUGGCAAAGCAGGAGCCCUCCGUGGCAGGGCUUCGGUGUCGGGGCUCCGAGGCUCUGGCCUGACUUCUCCACGGGGUCCACAGGAGCGUCUCCGGAUGCCAGGACCUGAAAUGGGCCGACCAGGAUGACGAAACCACAGGCAGAGGCCGGGGAAGCAGCGCGGCAUCCCAUCCUCAGGCCUGCCCGGACGGUGUUCGGGAUCAAGAGGACCACACUCCAGCCCAGGACAAAAGCCCCACGGUAGCACAUUGUCCGGCAGGAGAGGAGCAGACCCACGUCCAAGAAGAUGGUUGUACCUUUCCACGCCUCUUCUCUGCGAAAUGAAGCCACACCACGACACAAUCUUGAAGAGGAAGCCGGGAAUGGGAGACGGCAACAAUCCCUGUCCCUGGAACGCUGGCCUCUAUGGACAAGCCACCCGCUUCGCACCCCUCCCCUUAUGCCCGUGGCGGUGGCACGGCGCCGUAUCCUGCCUGGGCUCUGGCCUCUGCUCUGUCCUCCCUCUUCCUCUGUCUCCCCUGUUUCUCAGCGGCCUAGAUGCCUCUUGGUCUGGCUGAAUAUCUUCUAUGAAGAUCACUUCCCCGUCCAUCAGGGAGACAAUUCCUGGAGAUUCGUGUCAUGACUGUUUCUCUCUCCAAACCUGUUUCUGCUGGAUUGGGCAGGUCUGAUGACCCUGGAGCUCUUGGCUACCAUACGUGUCUCAGGAAACCAGAAUCAUGGCAUUCUGAAGAUUAGAGAUGCAAAUCUCCGUUAUUUGGCAUCCCCCCUGGACCCGAUCUGUUUUUCAUUGCAAAUAUCCUACUGCUAAGACUAUGCAAGCACCCUCCCUCUAGGCCCAGAGACUGUUGCAGAAGAGAUGGGUGCAUGAGAUUGUAAGGGCUGGUUUUGAGGGAUACAGUUAGCUCAGACACUGCAAAUCAAGGAGGGUACACAGGUGCCUAAACAGCUUGUAAAACAAAGAACUUUGCUUUCUCAGCUAUUACGUGGCACCUUUUUAUCCACCCCAACCAUGAAAAAUGUCCUGCUUCCUGGAAUUAAAAGAAAAUAAUUAUUAAGAGGAUAAAGAUACCUCAUGACCAAGCCUCCUGGGCAUAAUACUCCCAGUUAUAAGUUUUGCAGAUAUAUAUAUUUAGAUAUAUAAAAUUAUUUUUUAGAAAAAUAUAUAUGUUUUGUAUAGUUAAUCACUGUAAGUCUGUAAUUAAAACCAAGAUUAUAGCAGCUCAACGCAUAGAAAUGAAAGAAAAGUCAAUUUUUGUAAACUCGCCAUUGGCUUUUUGUUUUUGGCUCUUUACUUUAAAUAAAUCUUUUAAGGGGUAAAGAAUGCCUGUCUGAGUCCAUUCCUAUCUUUCCUAGAACACUUAUUUGUCUGUAAGUAUUUUGACUUCAAGUCCCUCCACCACAGGGAGUCUCACUGAAGGACAGGAUGGACACAGGGCAGGCAGAUAUGCCACCCAAACAGUGCUAGGGGAAAAAAAAAUUAAUAGCCAUUGAUGCUGAUGCUGGCAAAUAUUGGCCAUAAAGGGAAGAAUGGAAACCAAAAAUAAAAUUCUAAGCCCUUCAACCAUCUGAAUGUACCCCUCCUCUCAGCCAUAGGGAUUCCAGAGUGAAACUGAUAAUCUUGUUCAGGCCAUGAUGGAAGAGAGCAUUGGACAUGCCUCAUUAUAUUUCUCCAGCAUUAACAUCAACACAGACCUUAAGACAUCAACAUCAAACCUAAGAUUCUGAUCAGAAAUAUUUAACAUCUAUUUUCUCUGAAGCCUGCUACCUGGAGGCUUUAUCUUCCUGAUAAUAUCUAGGUUUCUCCAACACCUUAUCUUAACCCAGACAUUCCUUUCUACUGAUAAUAACUCUUUCAACCAAUUGCCAAUCAGAAAAUUUUAAAAUCUACCUAUAACCUGGAAGUCCCCACUUCGAGUUGUCCUGCCCUUCCAGAAUGAAACAAUAUAUACCUUACAUGUAUUGACUGAUGUCUCAUGUCUCCCUAAAAUGUGUAAAACUAGGCUGUGCCCUGACCAUCUUGUGCACAUGUUCUCAGGGUCUCCUGAGGGCUGUGUCAUGGCCCAUUGGUCACUUAUAUUUGGCUCAGAAUAAAUCUCUUCAAAUAUUUUAGAGUUUCACUCUUUUUGUUGACCAGUCACUCCCUAGUAAGUUUAGGAGCAGGGAUCUGACAGCAACCAUAUCAUGCUCAGAAACAGCAUUCUCUCAUCCACUGUCCCCAGGCUCUGCAGAACCCAGGGUCCUGGUAUCCAUAACCCAAGGAAAUGGGAAGGAGUCAUGAGCUCUUGGGCUUUCUCAUUCUCUGAAAAUGGGCAAUUGAUAACUAGCCUUGAUUUUGUUUAGAAGUAUAAAUAAAUGUCUCAUUUCUAAGCAAAAUGAAGUCUAGUUUCAAAUGUGUGAAAGGAAAAUAGAAACUUGGGACCCCAAUUCACUCUGCCAAAAGGAGAAAGUUAAGCUGAAAGCUGAGUCAUGCAAGAAGCUGACUUUCUUUUUGCUCCUAAGCACACAGCUCCAGAUGGAAGGUUAAAUAUCCCCACAGGUAGGUGCUCUGUCCUCAUCUUACCUUAUGUGAAGUGCUGAUUUACUGAGCAUAAGAUGAAUACAAAAUUGACUAUUCCCCUGCCUUAUCCUUUUCUUUUGCAAUGUGUGGAUUCAGUAAUGUGGCCAUACCCAUCCUCUUCCCCCUCCAGCAAACUCUUCCCCUUUAAAUAUUGAAGCCUCAGCAUCGUCUUUGGAGAAAGGCACAGACCACAGAUUGUUUAUAUGAUUCUGUGUUUUUUCCUUCCAACUUGUCCUUAAUCUUGGCAAAAUAAACUUCUAAAUUGAUUGAGACCUGUCUCAGAUACUUACUCAUUUAUGAAUAUUAGAAGCAGUUUGUGUUCUCAUCAUGUGUGUUAUUACAGCUAUCCCUUGUUAUCCAACCUUUUACUGUCAAGCUCAAUAACUGAAUAAAAUCAGAUAACUUUUUAGGUGAGUCCCUUUCUAUGUAAACUCUUGCUAUUCAUACUGGAGCUACAUUCAUUUGGAUAGUGCUCUCCCUCCUGAGUCAAGCUUGGUGCUUGACUCUCCCUAUCCAAAUCAGAAGCCAAAUAGACUUGAAAGGUUCAGGCAGUCAGUGUACACAGAACACGCACCGAACUUUUUGUUUAGCCAUUGCUAUUUAUCUCUAGUAGGUGUAAUAAUGAGAAAUGUUUACUUUUCAAAUACACUGCUGUGGUGUUUUAAUUUUUACAAGCUAAAUGUUUAAUGUUUACAUAACUAAUUUUUAUAAAAUACACCUGUUGCUGGAUACCUCUUGUCCCUAUCUUGAUAACCAUCACCCAGAUUUGCAAAGGAGGCCUUGCUCAAAUAUUUGGAAACUAAUGCCCUCAGAGAGAUGUCCACCAGCUUUGUUCCUCUCAUUCCUAUUUAAAGAUUGUGAUGUCAUUGGGUCUUUCCCUAGGGUGGCCCCUGGUUUGCCAGGCUGGACACUCCUGUGUUGAAGAUGCAUCGACUCACGUACUGCAUAAAUGUUUUAGAUUUUACUGUGAAGCAAACAAUUCACUCCUCAGACCCUCAGUCACCCAAGUCCACAUCUGGACUUGAGGUUUGGCUUCUCUGGUCCUAACUGGGACUUAUCUGACCCUGACAGGAGAUAACUUCAGUAGGGACUUUCCCUAAUAGCAAGCAUGCACACUUCAACUUGGCUUGCCCUGAAGGUAACAUUUACUCAUUAUAAUGGUAAAAAAACACGCCCCUGGGUGGAGAUUGCAGACAUUACUAAGACGUGUGAUGUAUGUACUAGCGUGUAUCACCAUACAGCAUGUGCACCCAGGAGACCACCCAAAACAUGUUUGCUAGUAACACCCCUUCACAACCACUUUCAUGAAUAAUCAUAUAAGACCCUCAUAAGGGAACUUUCCCAGUGCAGAUCAACGCUGUCUCUUUUUCCAAGCAGCCCGCUCUGACUUGGCUUUUAGAGGGUACUCUCUCUUUAAAUAAACUCUGCAGCUGCUUCACUGUCACUGCUUACUUCUUGGCUGAAUUCUUUCCUCCAAGAAGACAAGAACUGAAGACCCCACACCUCCCGGUAACAUUACCAACUCUUUCUCCUUUUUCUCUGGAGCUGGUGCUCAGAUGGUGAGAGCCCUGUGCUAAUGGUCCCAGGGUGGGAGCCUGUUUGCCCCUGUCUGGUCCUCAGCAAUGUCCUUGGUCAGUUUCCUGGCAACAGCUGUCAAUUACCAGAGGGAACAAGUGAUCAGCACCAGAGUCGAUCACUUCACAGAGGAGCUGAAGUGGACGGGGUCAGCUCAGGCCUCCCGGACCAGGGCGGGAAUGUCCCGUGAUGGCAGGUCAGUGUCUUAGCUACCUUGGAGGCACCUCUUCAUAGACUGCAGGGAUCAUUUAGGUAAAAAUAUAGCCUGCUGAUUUUUACACCUUUCUGAAAAUCUUUGCUAAUAGCAAUCUGUUAGCUGUGAAAAUUACCAUUGUUUUUUAUUUUUCGUUUUGUUCCUUAUUACUGAAGAUAUUCUAUGGAGCUUUAAAGCCUCCUGCAGUAAGAAACUAGUAAAGAAACAUACUGUUUGCAGGAAGGAAAAUUACCCACAAUUCUUGUUCUCUAAGGUGCGUGGUUAUCAUUCCAACAGCCAUUCUCAGCAAUGAACUGAGGGCCCUCAGAUGUGUUUCAUUCCCUUAGUAUUUUAAUCCUCUCCUCCACUCUCAAU
Molecule: long non-coding RNA, 4780 nt
Organism: Gorilla gorilla gorilla (western lowland gorilla)
Lineage: Eukaryota; Metazoa; Chordata; Mammalia; Primates; Hominidae
Exons: 3
Source: RefSeq, a predicted model, not a curated record